Molecule: ribosomal RNA, 733 nt
Filed under: uncultured eukaryote
Lineage: Eukaryota
Description: SSU rRNA
Rfam family: Eukaryotic small subunit ribosomal RNA
Source: RNAcentral
AGCAUGUACUACUUGGCUGGGCCUUACUUCUUAAUGAGCUGGUAUGCCCUUUAUUAGUGUGUGUCAGAGAACCAGAACUUUUACCUUGAGAAAAAUUAGAGUGUUCAAAGCAGGCCUAUACCUGAAUACAUUAGCAUACAAUAAUAAAAUAAGACAUGCAUUUCUAUUUUGUUGGUUUUUAGAGUCACUAUAAUGAUUAAUAGGGACAGUUGGGGGCAUUGAUAUUAAGUCACUAGAGGUGAAAUUCUUGGAUUGACUCAAGACCAACUACUAUAAAAGCAUUUACCAAGGAUAUUUUCAUUAAUCAAGAAUGAAGGUUAGAGGAUUGAAAAUGAUCAUAUACUAUAGUAGUCUUAACAGUAAACUAUGCCAACUAGAGAUUGGAUGACCUCAAAAUUGAUGUAUCAUUUGAUAUAUUAUGAGAAAUCAAAGUCUUUGAGUUUUGGGAGGAGUAUGGUCACAAUGCUGAAAAUUAAAGGAAAUGAUGGAAGGGCACCACCAGAUGUGAAGCGUAUAGAUUAAUUUAACUCAACAUGGGGAAACUCACUAAGUCCAGAUAUAACUAGGAUUGACAGAUUGAUAGCUUUUUCAUGAUUUUAUGGGUGGUGGUACAUAGCCAUUCUUAGUUGGUAGAGUGAUUUGUUGGGUUAAUUCCAAUAAUGAAUGAGACUUUAACAUCCUAAAUAGCCAGCAGGGCUUUGGCUGGUUUCUAGCUUGUUAGAGAGAGAGUCAG